RNA transcript from Misgurnus anguillicaudatus (oriental weatherfish), 7138 nucleotides. It is a transcript of the gene named F-box and leucine-rich repeat protein 20, with no coding region annotated. The record is from RefSeq and is a predicted model, not a curated record. Lineage: Eukaryota; Metazoa; Chordata; Actinopteri; Cypriniformes; Cobitidae.
GAUCAAGUCUUGGUAAGGGGAGGGGGAGAUGAGCAACACAACAGGAGAUAAGCUCGAUUUGUUCAUACUUCCACCGCUGGGGCUCUUCUGCAUCUUCGCCAUCUGCAAACGCGAGGAAAUUAACCAAAAACACGACAUGAGCUCGACGCAAACCUGCGGCGCCGACACACGCGUGCCCAUUUAAAAACCGGACGCGCUUUUCCUCUCCGGUUUACCGAGUUGAUAGCGUUCGGGAUGGGGAAGGAGGUGAACGGCGUCUCGCGGAGUCGCUUUGAGAUGUUCUCCAAUAAUGAUGAGGCUGUUAUCAACAAGAAGCUGCCAAAGGAGCUGUUGUUACGAAUCUUCUCAUUCCUGGAUGUUGUAACGCUCUGCCGCUGUGCACAAGUCUCCCGAUCAUGGAACCUGUUAGCCCUAGAUGGCAGUAACUGGCAACGCAUCGAUCUCUUUGACUUCCAGAGGGACAUUGAGGGCCGUGUGGUGGAAAACAUCUCAAAACGAUGUGGAGGCUUUCUGAGAAAGUUAAGUCUUCGAGGAUGUCUAGGAGUUGGAGACAGUGCGCUCAGAACGUUUGCUCAAAACUGCAGAAAUAUUGAGCUGCUCAGCCUCAACGGUUGCACGAAGAUAACUGACAGUACCUGUAACAGCUUGAGUAAAUUUUGUCCCAAACUGAAGCACUUGGAUCUCGCCUCCUGCACCUCUAUUACAAACCUGUCUCUCAAAGCACUAAGUGAGGGCUGUCCUCUGCUGGAGCAGUUGAACAUUUCGUGGUGUGACCAGGUGACCAAAGAUGGCAUACAGGCGCUUGUGAGAUGUUGUCCGGGUCUCAAAUGUUUGUUCCUCAAGGGCUGCACACAGUUAGAAGAUGAAGCUCUUAAGCAUAUUGGAGCACAUUGUCCAGAGCUGGUCACACUCAACUUACAGACGUGUUCACAGAUCACAGAUGAAGGUCUGAUAACCAUUUGUCGUGGAUGUCAUCGGCUGCAGUCGCUGUGUGUGUCGGGCUGUGCAAACAUCACAGACGCUAUUCUCAAUGCCCUGGGACAAAACUGCCCACGCCUCAGAAUAUUAGAAGUGGCACGCUGCUCUCAGCUUACAGAUGUCGGGUUCACAUCAUUAGCUCGGAAUUGUCAUGAAUUGGAGAAGAUGGAUUUAGAAGAGUGUGUACAGAUUACAGAUGGGACGCUUAUCCAGUUAUCUAUACACUGCCCUCGACUCCAGGUUUUGAGUUUGUCUCACUGCGAGCUGAUCACCGAUGAUGGGAUCAGACAGCUGGGCAGUGGUCCGUGUGCUCACGACCGUCUGGAGGUCAUCGAGCUGGAUAACUGUCCGCUCAUCACCGACGCUUCCUUAGAGCAUCUGAAGACCUGCCACAGCCUGGAUCGCAUCGAGCUGUACGACUGCCAGCAGAUCACCCGCGCCGGCAUUAAACGCUUGAGGGUGAGCCAAUAACUGCUGUCCUUCACUCAGAGGGAACACACUUUUACUCUUGUAUUACUGGAUUUUGAAAAUCACUAAAGACCCACUUACCCAACAUCAAAGUCCACGCCUACUUUGCACCCGUGACUCCGCCUCCAUCAGUGGGCGGAAGCCGUCAGAGAUUCUGUCGCUGCUGCAUCCUUCUAUGAUGUAAAAACAAGACUGCAUCUUGACCCCUCCCCCUGAUGUACCUGGAGCACAUGCUGAUGGAUCCCCAGUCAGAUCUAAUAAAAGUGAUGAUCAAACGCUCAUCAGCUUCAACCAACACUACAGUCCCUUCAAUGGCUUUACGAUACUCGGAUAUGGUAACUACUGUAAACGGAUUUUAGGGAGUGAGCAUGAAACUUACGGGAUAGAGCAUGAAUUAUGUGGCUCCUACUCGACACGACACCGUGGAUCGUGUAAAUCUGAUUCAAGAUCAUGCUGAAACGACCAGAGACCAUAUCAAAAGGAAACCAGCUUUUGGAGUUACGAUGGCAGCAACAAUUUGCCCCUAGUACACAAAUAUAACAAAAAUGGUGAACCCAGCUACACAAACAAACAUCUCUCACAAACACACUUUCUCUCUCUCUGUCUCUCUUUCUCUUUGUUUUACUCUGUGGCUAAAGCAAAGACUGAAUAUUUUUAAAGCAUGAUACUCUUCCAGGUUUUGCUUUUAUUCUGUCUUUUCCUCAAACUCUCUCUUUAUUAAGAGGUGAAAGCUAUUUAGUCGGCUAAUGGAGGUGAGGGGUAAGGUUAAGGACCUUGGCUGCUAAGGGAGCCGGUUCAUGUCUGGAUGAUCCAGAUAAAGGUGUUACGCUCUUAUGCACAUAAGAAAGUCUUUGGGUUGUAAGAAUGUAAAUAAGCCAAGAGGGAGAAAUGUGAGCUAUAUUUUCAACUGAUGAUCGAAUGUCAUCCUUGCAUUCAUGAGAGGUCACGUGGCUCACAUCGCAUUGUUCGAUGAAGUGCGUGCGUGUAAAAUGCAUCCGUCGCUGAUAACAUCGCAGACAACGGUUAAGUAUUUAGGAUUUGUUCAUUUCUCUACGCCAUUUGAUUGUAAUGAUGCAUUCACACCAGCCGCGGUAGAUGCAGCAAUAACGCGCUGUUCGCGCGUAGUUGCACGCUUUAUUCACGCGUGAAAUUCUAGUCAUCCGAGAGAUUCACGCGGAAAUGCGCGUCACUCCGCUAAGACUUUGCUCGCUGCCUGUAAUCACGUCACUACUACAGCAACGUCCUGAUUGGUUAACACCGGCACGGAAUCCGUCGAAGUUUUAAUUUUUCAACUUGCGCGUUUCCCGCGGCAACCUUCAAUUCAUGCGGAACACGUGAUCCAUGCCAUUUGCGCAUACUGUGCCGCAGGAUGCUUAAUCGCGUCUUUGCAUUGAGUUAAUGCUACGUACACACCAAAUGCGGGGCAUCGCGUUACUUGCUCUAGAUUAAUCGCGGGAUUUUACUUCGUGUCAUACAAAUUUUUUCAAUUGAGUUGAAUAUUUUCAACUUGGGCGAAGACGCGUUUUUGGCGAAAAGCGUGUGUUUUCGCGGCAAAAGCGCAGCCCAUAUCGCGUCAUUUGCAUUGGCCCAUGCGAAGACGCAUCUGAUCGCGUCUUUGCGUUAACUUUGAAUGUAAUCUACUCGCGCAAAACGUUGAACUCGCAUCUGGUGUGAACCCACAGUAACGUGUAAAUCACUCGCGCUUGCCGCCUCUACCGCAUCUUGUGUGAACCCUGCAUAAGGAAACUCAAAGCAAGUCGACCAUACUCAUCAGUGCACUCGCGUAUAACUCGACGAAAUCGGGUUUGUAAACGAAUCGCCAAUAAUAAUUAUACUUUAUAAACAAUGGACUGUCUCUUAGAUUAUAAAAACAAUCAAAAGCGUUUGUUUUAAAAUGUUUUGUUUGUUUGUGCUUGUUCUCAUCAUGAUCGUUGUCGUUUCCGUUUUGUUUUUCUUUUGAGUCGGUGACCAUUUAAGGCCACUUGUGAAACGUUAGCUUCGCUUUUUUGGUGAUUUUUUUUUUUGUAGGUUAGCUGAUGACCUUGAAAUCAAAUCUGUCACUGUUUAAGUUGCAAUAUUAGUAGAUUGUUUCGAUAGGGGUUUAUAGAAGUGCACACGCGACCUGGAGGCGAGUUGGUGGUGGUUCGUGGCAUAAACGAUUUUCAAAUCAUGUUACUUAUGUUGUAAGUCACUUUUACAUUAACUUAUAUUCAGUUUUUCCAAAGUCAAGUCAAGCACUCGCACGUGAUAUUCAUACACUUUGGACAGCUGUGAUAUGUGUUGACCACCGAUUUUAAUUUAACACGUCUUGUUUUUCCGUCAUACUUAGAUGAAAGUAUUUGAGCUGGUUAGAAUUGUACGCAAUAAAAUGUAUUUUGAAGUACGUUUUCUGUAUGUUGCAUAUUGCCUAUAGUACAAGACCUAUAGGUGUUGUUUUCUGUGAAGUUCUGUUGAGCUUGUACCUGUCUUGAGUUUUUUAUCUUUCAGUCGUCGGCUUUGUCCUCAGCACAUAAAAAGCUAAAUUUCAAUCAGAGACGUGUUUGUCCGGUCAAAAAUUGACCCUGACACAAUCACUUGUGUUUAAAGAUCAGCGUUUGUGUGUGUGUGAGGCACUAACCCUUCUGUUUAUCCGCUUUACUGGUGUUGAUUUUUUUGUGUCUGAUCUUUCGAAAUUAUCAUGACAUUUGCUGGUCCACAAGAUGCUCUGUUUUUCAAUACUAAAUAUUCAUGUUAUAUAACAGAUUCUUCUCCUCUUUAUUCCUAUAAGCAUGCUUGAUCUCUUACUGUGUGCAUAUAGGUCUAAAGUUUUAUCCUUUGAGUGCAAUGGGGUCCAAAAGUCUCAGACCACACUGAGAAUCUGGGAUUCAUAAUAUAAUUUAAAUGUGGAAUAUACAUUAUCCAAGUUUUGUGACUUUUCAAAAUUGAUGCAUUAAGGAAUGUUGCUAAGGUAAUAAGAAAAAAUGAUUUAGAAUUUUGUCAAUAUUUUUUCAACCCCUAGGGAGUUAGCUGACAUUGGCUUAACUUUGAACUCGCUUUUAUACGUUACAUUAUUACUACGUUCGCUAGUUCGGUUUAAUUUUAGCCGCUGUACUAUCCUACUUUUGUUGUCUCCUGAUUUUUUUGUGUUUUCUGCUGCUUUUAUUAAUGUAAAGCUGCUUUGAAGCAAUUAAACAAUUGUGAAGGUGCUAUAGACGGUUUCAGGAGUAACAACAUAAACAAGCGGCUGUCGUGGUCUGCACGUAACUUCCGGUAAACUCCGCUAAGAAUAAAUAACUACAAAGUUCUUUAAACAGUUUAUUUAUAUAACAAGCAAAAAACAACACAUAGAUUACCUAGGAAACCAAUUUUUUUUUUAUUUUUGAUGAGGCAUUUGUUCAAGAGAUCAGUUUAGCAACUAGUCAGACCAUUAAAAAAACGAAACCGGAAGUAAAGUUCGGAUCCAGACGUGUAUCGCGUCAGCGCACGUGCAUCCGAUGAAACGUCUAUAUAAAUAAAAUUUAAUUGAAUGUUAUGUUACGCAUGACUUGCUAUCAAAUGCUCAACGUUAAAGGGUACCUCGACUAUGAAGGCUAGAAUGCUUUAAUACUGUAUAUUUGCCUUCUACUACUAAAAUCCAUUGAUGGAAAAAAUGCAUUAAAUAUUUUUAAUAUGUAAUAUUAAUUUUAAGCUGCAGAGGCCGGCAUUAAGUUUCACGCAUAGUGCAUUUUUGGUUGUUGAUGGUCGUCAUGAAAUAUACUAUAAUAUCUACUAUAAUUUUCACGUAAUGGUGCGUACAUACCAAACGUGAAGCAUUGCGUUCCUUGCUCUAGAAAUUUUUUACUUGCGCAAAGACUUUGCGUCAUUCGCAUCGCUCCGUUCAAGUUCACAUCUAUUCGCGUCUCUGCAUUGAAUUUGUAUGUAAUCUACUCGUGCAAAUCGUUGAAUUCGCUUUUGGUGUGUACGCCCCACUCCCACCUUCUUACUUCUCAGAUUGUUUUUAUUUGAUCAUCUUUCAUUUGUAUGUUUUCUGUAUUGUUCAUCAUUUAUGUUACUCUCGGUUCGUAUUAAAAGGGCUGAACAGAAGACGUUGAUAUUUUUGUAUUUUUAAUUACAUGCAAGUUUGAAGACCACAUACCGCCUACUGUUUGUAUGCAUUUAUAACUCUCAUCUUGUAAAAUCAUUUUACAUUCUACUAACAUUAGACUUGUUUACUGCGCUGUAGCGGUAAUAGAACGGGUUUCGGUUGCAACCCUUUGACGUCAAAAUAUUUUUUAAGAGUUUAUUAAAAUUAUGACAUUUGCAGUUUUUCACAUUCAUAUAGCCAAUCCCAGUGUUGAUCUAUUAGGCCAUACAUGUGUUAUAGUUUGGUUACCCUUUAACUCAAUAGUCACACAACUAUCUGAGCAAGCCACGUUUAAUUUAAAGCCCUGUAUGUCAACAUUCGGGAGAAACAUCAGAGAUGAAGUUGACCUUAAAUAAAUUAAGAACUCAAGUCAUCUGUGCUAUUAAAAAGCUUCAUAUAAAAUAAUAAAUUUUUCUUGAUUUUACACACAUUUUCGUGUAAAGUUGAAUCUUAUAGCAGACAUCCCUUUUUUAAAUUUUAUUAAUUCAGAGAAAUGCAACUCUGUAUCACUUAUGAUAUCCCACAUUUGGACUCCACUGUACAUCUGAGCAAACCUGGAAAUAUUCGAUCACCUCCUUAUGCCAUGCUUAAUGUUUCAAGUUUCAGUUUUGCUAUACAACCGGUUUUAAAUCCUGUUUGAGGUUUUGGAAACAGGUGAGAUGGUGUCUCUUAAUUUAACCCUAUAGAGUACACCAUCAUGUUUAUCCAUCUUCAGAGCGUUUUGGUGGUUGUGCUUCAUCAAAUGUCAUGCAGGACACUUGCGAGACAAUUAUAAUGUUUGUUUUAAACACUAUAAUGUUGUGCAAGUAACUCAAAUGUUUUGUUGAAUCAAAUAUAAUAUUUUAUAGACUAAAUAACUGAUUACGUAAGGUUACACCAACAAACAGGAUUUUUAAAGGUCAGAUCAGGUACCUUUUAGGUAUUCGGUAAAAACUAGUUUACAGUAAUGUUUGUGAGUGUUAUUAUUAAAUUAUUCAUCAACAUACUCUUUAAGGCAACAACCACAUUUAGUUUUUUUCUUGCAACUGUUGUAUUCUGUGCAUGUGUUUAACAUUAACGUAUUCUUUACAUGUAUUUGCUGAAAUGUGUCGACCUGUGGCCAUUGCCCUUUGUUGUUGCAAACGGUUUUAUGAUUUUGAAUACUGCUGUCUGCAAAUAUUUAAGAGAACAAGUCAGCAAUACCCCAAAUAAUGUUUCUCAAUGCAGUCAUCUCUAUGUCCCUCUCUCUCUCUCUCUCUUUCUUUCUUUAUCUCUCUUUAUGAAUCAGUCAUACACAUUAACAUACACAAACAUGGAUCUGAGUGCUGUCACACCGCCCUCUCAAUCAACAUGGUUAUAUGUGCACCUGUUAUCAAUGAGUGUUUAUCAAACACGUGGAGUUUUUUUUGGGGUCAGAUUCUGAAUCACUGGCUGAACGUUUGAGAUGUUUAAAAUGAUCGAUCGGGCCCUGAGAACGUGAUUUUGGUCCAUGCGGAUUAAAACCUUCACAAAGAUUGUACUCGUAUGAAUUAUUGUACUUUUUAUUUUACAAUUAACCAAUAAAAAAUGAAUAUGGCAGAAUGAAUAAAUAUAUAACUAUAUUAUUAUUAA